RNAcentral lists this ribosomal RNA (426 nucleotides) under Parhyale hachijoensis. RNAcentral's name for it is "partial 28S rRNA". The record is from RNAcentral. Lineage: Eukaryota; Metazoa; Arthropoda; Malacostraca; Amphipoda; Hyalidae.
UUGAACAAUCCGACGCUUGGCGAAGGAUGACGAUCACAGAGUGCUUUAGUUGCAAGUCCAAAGUACAGAAGAUAGAACGGUCAGUGCAUUGGCGGACAUCAACAUCAUGGAGAUAGAAAAGUAAAGCCCCCGAACAGAUUCACUCAAUCGUCUGCCCGUGAGACCCUGAGAAUCAUCCAGUAGCCUCACCCUUGGGCAGACAGAAACUCUCUGGGAUCCGAAAGCAACAUCCUUCGCAAACGCCUCGAUACCUAAAGUUUAUCUGUCUCCCCCCCGGCACGAGUCUAAACGACCACACUUGUGGUGAUAUAUCACAGCACAAUAGAUUGGAGCGGGUGAAGCCACUAGAGAGAGAACCCCAAGCUCUUUAUGUCUGCCGAUGCAAUGCGCGAAAGCUCCUUCUAUAAAACACAGGUGGACACAAGA